Molecule: ribosomal RNA, 270 nt
Filed under: uncultured prokaryote
Description: partial 16S ribosomal RNA
Rfam family: Bacterial small subunit ribosomal RNA
Source: RNAcentral
UACGUAGGGGGCAAGCGUUAUCCGGAUUUACUGGGUGUAAAGGGAGCGCAGACGGAACUGCAAGUCUGAUGUGAAAGCCCGGGGCUCAACCGCGGGACUGCAUCGGAUACUGUGGAUCUGGAGUGCCGGAGGGGCAAGCGGAAUUCCUGGUGUAGCGGUGAAAUGCGUAGAUAUCAGGAGGAACACCGGGGCGGAAGGCGGCUUGCUGGACGGCAACUGACGUUGAGGCUCGAAAGCGUGGGGAGGCAAACAGGAUUAGAUACCCUGGUA